Molecule: long non-coding RNA, 1056 nt
Organism: Panicum hallii
Lineage: Eukaryota; Viridiplantae; Streptophyta; Magnoliopsida; Poales; Poaceae
Exons: 3
Source: RefSeq, a predicted model, not a curated record
UAAGGUAUAAGACAUGUUCUAUCCCCUAUUCCUGUAUGAACUACGUUAUGUACACAGUCCUGUAGUUCCGGAUCUGACACGCGGCACGGAGGCUGCCGCGCCAUCGCACGAGUCUUCCGCCCGUGCCAUCCCCUGCGUGAACCAACAAGAUGUAGAGCAACAUCUCAACCACGUCAUGCUUGCUCGAAUCACAUGCGAGUAGAGUACAACACAAUUAAGGUAUAGGAUAUGUCCUAUCCCCUAUUCCUAUAUGAACUAUGUUAUGUACACAGUCCCGUAGUCCCGGGUCUGACACUUUUGUAGAGCUUAUGCAGUGGUGAGCAUUUUUCACUUUAAUUUUUUUUAGCUUUGUAGAGCUUUUAUCUGGUAGCUAUCACAUUAACUCCUUAUGCCCUUUUCUCAUCAUCACUCGAAAAGGUGCAAUGAAAGGAAGAAGGUUCUUAGAGUUGUUGGUCAGUUAAAUGCCUCUAUCAUGACCCUAGAUGGAGUUGCAUUAGAGCCUUGGACAUUUAAUCAGACAGUGUCAUGCAAAGAGCUCAUGAGGAUGAUUGUGUUGCACGAGUUGCCUUUCUCACUUGUGGAAUAUGAUGGCUUUAGAAGGUUUGUGUCCAGUUUAAACCUAAGAUUUAAGAUGAUUUGCAGAAACUAUAAGAUUUUCGAACUCGAAUGACCCUAGAAACCGUUGAAGCUCUAGUGUGCCUGCAAGACUGGAUGAAGGAAAACGCUCAUACUUAGCGCCGCAUGGAUUCGGUUCAUGAAAUUAUCUCAGUUUUGGAAGGUGAUGAGGCCGCAGAGGGACAGUAAGGUUCAUGAUGGUUGUGAGAAGUGUUUGAUCCAGUAACAUCCAAUAGGUGAUGAAGCAAAAUGUGGUGAAAACUGAAAAGUUAAAUGUUAUUUAUGAGUAAUCACUAGCAAAAAGAUGAGUUAUGUGUAAUGGUAGAGAUGAAUCGGCAACUGAUGGCGAAAAAAUAUCCAAUCAUUGAUGAUGAAUUGUAAUGGCAGAAAUAAACUUCUGAUUAUUAAUUGCUAAUGGACAUGGAAGUUAAACUCUUUAUA